Nerophis ophidion (straightnose pipefish) is the source of this 935-nucleotide long non-coding RNA. RefSeq lists it as uncharacterized. Lineage: Eukaryota; Metazoa; Chordata; Actinopteri; Syngnathiformes; Syngnathidae. The transcript is spliced from 4 exons. The record is from RefSeq and is a predicted model, not a curated record.
AAAUAGUACAUGUCUUCUGCAUGUUUGAAAACAUAUCCAAACCCCACAGGUAGGAGCAUGAUGACAAUGUGCAGUAAAUGAGUCUCCAUGGUGAUGUUCUAUAAAGUACACACAGAAUCCUCACUUAAGGCAGUCUGCACCACUUUACAAUUGCACACGCCAUGUUGGUAAGCUGCAUGCAACAUGUUCACUAGUAGCACACGCAGGUUUAUAGAUUGCACACGUUAUUCAGCCCGUGGUAUUUGAAUCUUAGUAAAUCAGGCUCUAAGUCUACUUUGUGUGCUAUUUCCAAGUAUACCCCACCCUGAGUGAGACGCUGCAAAAGCGAUGGGGUGACGCAGAGCAGGCUCGGUAUGAAGGUCUUAUCACUGAGCAAGGAUAUGGAAAUCUCCUAAGGGAUAUAUUUGAAGAUGCCGGGUUCCUGAAGAGUCACAAAGUAAAAGUAAAGUUACCCGAGGCUGCUGUUCAAUGGGAAACACACAGCUCUUUAGAGAAAUGUAAUGAGGACUUCCAAAAACAGCAAGAAGAGAUUGAGAGACUGCGAGCCCUCCUCACUCAUCACAAUAUUCCCUUCCAUUCACAAACAGAUGGAACAAAAGCGGCCGGGACCACAACUAUGCUGCAACAUUUACGAGGGGAUGCCGGCUGAAAGUUUUUUCCCCUCUUGGGCGCGCUGAUAAAGAAACGGGGACAUGAUGGAAUCAACAUUAAUUUCCCAAAUCAGGGAUACAUUGUUAAAAAAACCUCUUAUUUAUUUAAAAAAUCUUUUGAUAAAAAAAAACAACUUGUAAUUUAAUUAAAAAGACACCUACAGCUCAAUUUCUUUCCUUUGGAAUGUUUAAAAACCCUGAAAUGGGCCAAAAACACACCUAUACUUCAUUACAUUAAAUAUGUAUUAUUGACAGUGAAAUUAUUAGUAUAACUAAAAGAAACAA